RNAcentral lists this ribosomal RNA (400 nucleotides) under uncultured bacterium. Its description in RNAcentral is "bacterial SSU rRNA". It matches the Rfam family "Bacterial small subunit ribosomal RNA", at positions 30 to 429 of the family's 1533-position model. The record is from RNAcentral.
AGUGAACGCUGGCGGCAGGCCUAACACAUGCAAGUCGAACGGCAGCACGGCAGUAGCAAUACUGUGGGUGGCGAGUGGCGGACGGGUGAGGAAUACAUCGGGAUCUACCCUGUUGUGGGGGAUAACGUAGGGAAACUUACGCUAAUACCGCAUAAGAACUGAGGUUGAAAGCGGCGGACCGCAAGGCGUCGCGCGAUUGGAUGAACCGAUGUCCGAUUAGCUAGUUGCGGGUAAAGGCCACCAAGGCGACGAUCGGUAGCUGGUCUGAGAGGACGACCAGCCACACUGGAACUGAGACACGGUCCAGACUCCUACGGGAGGCAGCAGUGGGGAAUAUUGGACAAUGGGCGCAAGCCUGAUCCAGCCAUGCCGCGUGGGUGAAGAAGGCCUCGGUUGUAAG